GAUAACCGUUCUUUGUCUCUUCAAUCACCGUUUUUCCGCUAAAAUUUCACAAGACAAUGGAUUCUUCACUGAACUCUUGGCCUCCUAUAUUUUUCGAUGUAUUUCACUUAAUUCUUUGCAAAACAACAAUUAUUUCAAAGGGAGAGUUAAGAGAAAACGUUAAGGGCAGAGCCCUGAUCCUUCUUCUUCGUCUUCGUGAAGAAGUUUCUGAAGCCUCAGAAAAAGGAAACAAAUUUAUAUUAAAUCAACCAGAUUAAUCAUCAGAAGGAUCAUUGAUUAGUCUCUGAAAAAAAAAAUUGAGCUUCCAGUUCUACCAGAGUUAAUACAUUCGAUCGAUGGGGUGAGAUUCUCCUUCCAAUCUCUGUGUUUGGCCUUGUGCAUAUUCUAUUGGUGGUAUUUGAUUGAUUCUGAUUUAGAGAUUCUUUACAUGAUAGGUUGAUUUUAGUAAAGAUUGUUUUGGCUUUAUUCAGACAGAAAGUUUUGAACUGAAAAGAAAACAAUGGCUGCGUGGGGUUUGUGUGUGGUAGGGAAAACAAAGAAGUUUGUGUGGGGUUUUGUAACAGAGCAGUGGCUGCGUGGCUUGCUACAGAGAAACAUAAACUCUAAAGGAUCCUCCACCUUUUGAUUCCAUAGCUCAAAAGAAACAUCUGAGUGGCGUCUCUGAAGAUUUCUGGUCAACAAGCACUGUUGAUAUGGACAACAUCACCUUCCCUUCUCAGGGAGGGAUCAUAUCAUCAUCCAACCAGACUUUUGAUUCUCAAUCUGGUGCUAGAAACUUAAAUGCCCCUCCUGAGUUUGUAAACGAAGGUCUUCAUCUUUGGAAAGAAAGGAAAGAGCGUCUUCAUCUUUGGAAAGAAAGGAAAGAGCCUGUAAUCUACCGGAACGCAAGCAAGGAGCCAAGAUAAAAUUGGAACACAACAUCAUAUGAUAGCUUGCUGGGAGCAACACGUUAUUUUCCCAACCCAUUCCUCUCAGUUGUUUCUUGCUUCAAGAAACCCAGCAACGCUAGAUGCCUCGAUGUUUGACUCCACGGGAGGAAUGGUUAAUCGUAAAAGAAAGUGAAAGUAAGUCUUAAAAACAUUACCUUUGUUUUAUGUGUGUUCUCAUGAUGUAUUUGAAUAGAAUCUGAUGUUUUUUUUUUUGAUGAUAUUUCUGCUUCUGAGAAAUCGAUAGAGAAGAAGGAAAUAGCAAAGCAGGAAGCAGUCAUGAAAGAGCCUGGACAUAUAUCUUGCUGAUAAUGAUACGAACCAGUUUCAUGUCAGUGCCUCACCUUCUCUUUUUAUGGAAAGAUUAUGUAUAUAUAUAUAUAUAUAUAUAUAUAUAUAUAUAUAUAUAUAUAUAUUUAAUAAUGAAAAAACACCAAUCUUCUUUUCAAACAACUCCUAACACUUCUCCAACCUUUACAUCUCUACUCUUACUCUACACACCACCACCAUCAACCAUUUGUAAUCCCACAACUUCGGUUUUGCUAAUGUCUCCGCGCUUGCGCGGGGCUCCGCUCUAGUAUUUUAAAGAGUUAGCGAUAUGUUGAAACAAACAUACGGUGGGAAAAUUGUAAUAUUUUGGGUCCAGGUUUGGGCUUCGGCUUCCUAGACAUCUUCCUAGACUUUGUGAAGAAAAACAACCACAUCUAUCUUAUUAAAACAGAAACACUCUAUUGGACUUAAUAUUUAUUUUGUAAGUUUUUAAAUUAAAUACACCUUUAUACUUUAUAGUUAAAUCUACAUUAAAUCAUUAAUGUUCAUUUCUUUAUACUACUAUCCAUGUUUCCAAACAAUAUACUUAUUUCUUUAUACUACUAUCAAUGUUUCCAAACAAUAUAUUUUU
Raphanus sativus (radish) is the source of this 1827-nucleotide long non-coding RNA. RefSeq lists it as uncharacterized. The transcript is spliced from 5 exons. Lineage: Eukaryota; Viridiplantae; Streptophyta; Magnoliopsida; Brassicales; Brassicaceae. The record is from RefSeq and is a predicted model, not a curated record.